GGAAACCUGUUUCUUAAAAAAAAAAAAAAGAAAUCGACCAUGUCGCAAAUAGAGGAGGAGGAGGAAAGAAAGAAGAAGUACCACUACCAAAGGAAGAACAUGAAGAACAACCCACAAGUGUGCAAGAUAGAAUCCUCAAAAAGCAUCAACACCAACAAGCAACAAUCCCCAGACGAAGAAUGGCCAAAACACUAAAAACAGAUGUAGAAAAGAAUUGAAUGGAAAGGGGCAACAGGGACGGGUUGAUAAAAGAAAAAUUGUGAAUAUUUUUAAAUUAAUGAAGAGAGUGGGCUGGGCUUGGCUUUAAACGUGGGUUAGAUCACAG
This 325-nucleotide unclassified non-coding RNA is filed under the name Hevea brasiliensis (rubber tree). The record is from RNAcentral. Lineage: Eukaryota; Viridiplantae; Streptophyta; Magnoliopsida; Malpighiales; Euphorbiaceae.